GCUGGGAUGGCUCCGUCGGUAGAGCAUGAGGCUCUUGAUCUCAGGAUCGUGAGUUCAAGCCCCACAUUGUGCA
This is a non-coding RNA of Podarcis lilfordi (Lilford's wall lizard), 73 nucleotides long. The record is from the annotation of a GenBank genome assembly. NCBI's taxonomy places the organism in Eukaryota, Metazoa, Chordata, Lepidosauria, Squamata, Lacertidae.